UACGUAGGGUCCGAGCGUUGUCCGGAAUUAUUGGGCGUAAAGGGCUCGUAGGCGGUCUGUUGCGUCGGGAGUGAAAACUUACAGCUUAACUGUGAGCGUGCUUUCGAUACGGGCAGACUUGAGGCAUUCAGGGGAGAACGGAAUUCCUGGUGUAGCGGUGAAAUGCGCAGAUAUCAGGAGGAACACCGGUGGCGAAGGCGGCUCACUGGACCGGAACUGACGCUGAUGCGCGAAAGCGUGGGGAGCAAACGGG
Molecule: ribosomal RNA, 253 nt
Filed under: uncultured bacterium
Lineage: Bacteria
Description: partial 16S ribosomal RNA
Rfam family: Bacterial small subunit ribosomal RNA
Source: RNAcentral